Molecule: ribosomal RNA, 265 nt
Filed under: uncultured bacterium
Lineage: Bacteria
Description: partial 16S ribosomal RNA
Rfam family: Bacterial small subunit ribosomal RNA
Source: RNAcentral
GUCCACGCCCUAAACGAUGUCAACUAGUUGUUGGGGGACUUACCUCCCUUAGUAACGCAGCUAACGCGUGAAGUUGACCGCCUGGGGAGUACGGUCGCAAGAUUAAAACUCAAAGGAAUUGACGGGGCCCGCACAAGCGGUGGAUGAUGUGGAUUAAUUCGAUGCAACGCGAAAAACCUUACCUACCCUUGACAUGCCAGGAAGUCCGUGGAGACAUGGAUGUGCUCGAAAGAGAGCCUGGACACAGGUGCUGCAUGGCUGUCGU